RNAcentral lists this non-coding RNA (24 nucleotides) under Cricetulus griseus (Chinese hamster). Lineage: Eukaryota; Metazoa; Chordata; Mammalia; Rodentia; Cricetidae. The record is from RNAcentral.
GUUUAUUCAGUUGCGUCUGUCUCC